RNAcentral lists this ribosomal RNA (428 nucleotides) under Microcera diploa. RNAcentral describes it as "partial large subunit ribosomal RNA". It matches the Rfam family "Eukaryotic large subunit ribosomal RNA", at positions 116 to 555 of the family's 3401-position model. The record is from RNAcentral. Lineage: Eukaryota; Fungi; Ascomycota; Sordariomycetes; Hypocreales; Nectriaceae.
UGAAAUCUGGCCCCCGGGUCCGAGUUGUAAUUUGUAGAGGAUGCUUUUGGCGCGGCGCCUUCCGAGUUCCCUGGAACGGGACGCCAUAGAGGGUGAGAGCCCCGUCUGGUCGGCCGCCAAGCCUCUGUAAAGCUCCUUCGACGAGUCGAGUAGUUUGGGAAUGCUGCUCUAAAUGGGAGGUAUAUGUCUUCUAAAGCUAAAUAUUGGCCAGAGACCGAUAGCGCACAAGUAGAGUGAUCGAAAGAUGAAAAGCACUUUGAAAAGAGGGUUAAACAGUACGUGAAAUUGUUGAAAGGGAAGCGCUCAUGACCAGACUUGGGCCCGGUCAAUCAUCCACCGUUCUCGGUGGUGCACUUGGCCGGCCCAGGCCAGCAUCGGUUCGGCGUGGGGGAUAAAGGCGUCGGGAAUGUGGCUCCCCCGGGAGUGUU